AGAAAUCUAGAAGAAAAUUUGGAGUGGUUAGAAAAAUCCUGCUGUCCCACCGAUUGAAGCGUAAUACAGGGAUAGUUAACGUUUACUUAGCAUUUCCUGUGGGAUCGGCACUGCCUUCUAGCUUUAUUCUAGUCUCGUGGCUCUGUAGGGAAACUUCUCGUUUUAUGAUGAGAAUCCUGAGGCAGAGGUAACGUGCCCUCAGUCUUACAGCUGGUGGUGAUGGAGCAAGAUUGGAACGCAGGCCGUCUAGACCUCUGAGCGCACCCUUUCACCACUGUGUGCAAGCGAAUACACGCGGAACAAUCCUAAUGAAUUUUCAGCAAAAACCACUGACAUCGGCCUGGCUGCCUGGGGACGCAAGGCCCUGGACAUUGCCGAGAAUGAGAUGCCGGGCCUGAUGCGUAUGCGGGAGCGGUACUCGGCCUCCAAGCCACUGAAGGGCGCCCGCAUCGCUGGCUGCCUGCACAUGACCGUGGAGACGGCCGU
RNAcentral lists this small RNA (486 nucleotides) under Pongo abelii (Sumatran orangutan). RNAcentral's name for it is "processed transcript". The record is from RNAcentral. Lineage: Eukaryota; Metazoa; Chordata; Mammalia; Primates; Hominidae.